This 236-nucleotide long non-coding RNA is filed under the name Mytilus galloprovincialis (Mediterranean mussel). Lineage: Eukaryota; Metazoa; Mollusca; Bivalvia; Mytilida; Mytilidae. The record is from RNAcentral.
UUCUUCUAUAACAUGCAUAUUUUGAUUUGUGGAUCAACAGAACCCUUACAAAGUUUCAGUUGCAUUCGUGUCAGAAUAUUCAAAUUUCCCGGCGAAAGCAACGUAUCAUUCGGAAACUUCCGGGUUGAUGCGUUUACCACAACGAUAAAUCCUUAUAAACAGACGAGUGCUGUCCCUUGAUUUAUUAUUACAUAUCGAGCGCAAAGUUAACGAAUAGAACCUUUCUUCAAACGGGG